GACGAACGCUGGCGGCGUGCUUAACACAUGCAAGUCGAACGGAAAGGCCCUGCUUUUGUGGGGUGCUCGAGUGGCGAACGGGUGAGUAACACGUGAGUAACCUGCCCUUGACUUUGGGAUAACUUCAGGAAACUGGGGCUCAUACCGGAUAGGAGCUCCUGCUGCAUGGUGGGGGUUGGAAAGUUUCGGCGGUUGAGGAUGGACUCGCGGCUUAUCAGCUUGUUGGUGGGGUAGUGGCUUACCAAGGCUUUGACGGGUAGCCGGCCUGAGAGGGUGACCGGCCACAUUGGGACUGAGAUACGGCCCAGAGUCCAACGGGAGGCAGCAGUGGGGAAUAUUGCACAAUGGGCGGAAGCAUGAUGCAGCAACGCCGCGUGCGGGAUGACGGCCUUCGGGUAGUAACCGAUUUCGCCUGUGACGAAGCGUGAGUGACGGUAAUGGGUAAAGAAGCACCGGCUAACUACGUG
RNAcentral lists this ribosomal RNA (467 nucleotides) under uncultured bacterium. Its description in RNAcentral is "partial 16S ribosomal RNA". It matches the Rfam family "Bacterial small subunit ribosomal RNA", at positions 28 to 507 of the family's 1533-position model. The record is from RNAcentral.